UACGUAGGGAGCAAGCGUUGUCCGGAAUCAUUGGGCGUAAAGCGCGCGUAGGUGGCCCGGUAAGUCCGCUCUGAAAGUCACAGGCUCAACCUGUGAAAGCGGGUGGAUACUGCCGGGCUAGAGUCCGGAAGAGGCGAGUGGAAUUCCUGGUGUAGCGGUGAAAUGCGCAGAUAUCAGGAGGAACACCGAUGGCGAAGGCAGCUCGGUGGGACGGUACUGACGCUGAGGCGCGAAAGCGUGGGGAGCAAACAGG
Molecule: ribosomal RNA, 253 nt
Filed under: uncultured bacterium
Lineage: Bacteria
Description: partial 16S ribosomal RNA
Rfam family: Bacterial small subunit ribosomal RNA
Source: RNAcentral